UAGUACACAGGAAGCUGUGAACCGCCGCCUGUAAAUGGUCACUUGGGCGGUGGGGAGCUAAUAGUGAGACCGGCCUGAAAGCAG
Molecule: non-coding RNA, 84 nt
Filed under: unclassified sequences
Description: c-di-GMP sequence
Rfam family: Cyclic di-GMP-II riboswitch aptamer
Source: Rfam by way of RNAcentral